GCACACACACACAGGACGAGCUAAAGCAGCGCAUUUGGCAGGCCAAAGUUACAAAGGUUUUUGUACUUCUUCAAGAAUUAACAAAGUGACGUUGCAGUACAAUUACAACAAAUGCCGGAUUUUCAAGACGGUUACUCCUGAAAGAUGGUGCAGCUGCCAUUUUGUUGGGACAAUCUGGCACUUCAGGAUCACAACCUAAAAGUGGAUGCGAGUCCCUCCAUAUGCGAUAUGCACUUAGUAUGCGAGUCGCCAAUAAACCAAAAGAAGAAGAAGAAUCACGCGCAUCUGGUCUGUUCACUCAUGAUAAAUUAUUAUAAUCAGAUAAUGCACAUUAGAUGAAAUUACUCUGACGUCACACCACAGGAAACCGCACUUCUGGGUUCUAUUGAGCAGAAGAUUUCAA
Myxocyprinus asiaticus (Chinese sucker) is the source of this 403-nucleotide long non-coding RNA. RefSeq lists it as uncharacterized. The transcript is spliced from 3 exons. NCBI's taxonomy places the organism in Eukaryota, Metazoa, Chordata, Actinopteri, Cypriniformes, Catostomidae. The record is from RefSeq and is a predicted model, not a curated record.